GUUUGAGGAUGUUUCCUCUUACGGACGAUACUUAUGCUUCAACAGAGUCAUAAACAACACUAAAGAUGCUACCACACUAGCCAAUAUGCUUCUGCCCCCUUCAGCGUCAUCAGGAACACAAAGUUUGGAGGAUGACACUGUAUAUGAGCAAAGGAUUAGCAACAAGAAACUAAACAAACUGAUGCUGGGAUUUGAUACUGGAUUGGAAGUCCAAGUGAAUUGAUUGAUGCCAUCACUGUUUAUAAAGCAUGGCUCGUA
Molecule: unclassified non-coding RNA, 258 nt
Filed under: Hevea brasiliensis (rubber tree)
Lineage: Eukaryota; Viridiplantae; Streptophyta; Magnoliopsida; Malpighiales; Euphorbiaceae
Source: RNAcentral